Long non-coding RNA from Cololabis saira (Pacific saury), 456 nucleotides. RefSeq lists it as uncharacterized. Lineage: Eukaryota; Metazoa; Chordata; Actinopteri; Beloniformes; Belonidae. The transcript has 3 exons. The record is from RefSeq and is a predicted model, not a curated record.
AUCACGGAGACCAGUAUUGUUAUUGACAUAAAAAAUUGUGUCAAAUAGUUAGGAAUAUUAGCCCAGCCUAAACUCUGGGCUGGGGAGAAGGGGACCCGAGAUGCCCGCCGUCCUUACGGGUGAAGAUGCUCGCGGCCCGUCGACGGCGCGCGGUGCCCCUUAAUUUGGCGACCGGUUCAUCCAAACAGCUGCUUCUCUCCCCGCCACACCGGGACUCACGUCCAGCCUAUCGACCGCAGACGGGAGAUGGAGGAGGCUAAUAAGAGGAAGAAGCGCAGCCUCAGCAACUCCUCUUUUCCUUUAAUGACCCGCCGGCCAGAGAAACCAGUACACAGCAUCAUCAGCAUCCCGUGAUGACACCAGAGAGGAUGAAGACGCUGUCGUUAAAGGGUGGAAACGGGAGAGUGAGACUAAACCUCGGGCCAGGAGCUGAAGAAGAAGUGAGACAGCAGCUGC